Molecule: non-coding RNA, 1592 nt
Organism: Zonotrichia albicollis (white-throated sparrow)
Lineage: Eukaryota; Metazoa; Chordata; Aves; Passeriformes; Passerellidae
Source: RefSeq, a predicted model, not a curated record
AGGUGCCUUUCCCUUCCAUGCCCUGGCAGUGAUACAGCAGGAGCUCUUGGCACCUGGAGACUCUGCUUUCACAACUGCUGCAAGAACAUAGGGCAGUGGCAGGAAUCCCUGAGUGAGCAGCAUCAUCAUGAGACGAAAGAAAAUCAUGGUGUUUCCUCUGCCCAUUUACUCCAUGAAACUUGAACCCUGCUUGUGAAAGCAGCAAGGCUUUGACAGGAGGAGAGGUGAAGAGCAGGAUCUUUCUGGGUUUCUGAAGGAUCUGGAAGGAAUUACCAGUGACAGUUGUGAGGGGGAUGUACUCCAGCUUGGCGGGGUUGGUUUGUGCUUUGUUUCCACAUUGCCUCCUCCUAGCAAAGUGGAUGUGCUGGUGGCAUCCCCGGAUUUCUUGAGCUCUCAUGCUGACUCUGAGUCAGCUUUGACCUGGCUGGGUGCUCACCUGCAUUAUUCCAGAUGUGACCAUGGAAAUUCCACAGGGAAAGCAACCCUAGGGAAGAAGGUCUUGCUGGCUUCAUGUCUAAAAACAAAAUAAAAAUCAAACAAGGAAAAGGGAAUGGGAGCCCUGGGGGGGACACAAUCCCUUGGCAAGCACCCCUAUGUCAUUAUUUACCUUUUUGGAGAAUCUACAGCAGGACCACAGCCACAGCCUGAUGUGCACUGAGCUGCAUCUCUGGGGGGUGAACAGCAAAUGCUUUGUGUCAUGCACUGAGCUGGAGGGCAAGGUGAGUUUGUGGUCUUUCCUCCUGGGAGAUGCUAUCAGGACAAGCUGCGAAGUGGGAUGUCUGAAACAGAUCAAGACGAUUUUCUAAACACCAGUACACAAGUAAGUGCUCAACACUGAAUAUGGACAAAGUGCAUUUUGUGAUGUGGCACUGUUGAGCAUGAGCCUGCUGGCAUUCAGGAGCUCAGAGCUGAUCUGCUGGGGAAAUCCUUUACCAACAGCACUGCUGUCCUUGUGGCCUUUGCAUAAAGGAACUGUCCUAUGUAUUAGAAUGGAGUGUGUUGAAUUAGGGGUGAAGGCAGUCCCAGGGAAGAGGAUUAUGAACUGGGAGCUCCCUGGCUGUCUCCAGUGAGUAUCUGCACACCUGGUCUGCAGGACAGCAGGUAAAGCAAAAGGAAGAAGGAAGGGAAAUAUUCUCUGGUAAUUCAGGAAGAGGAGAGCGGCAGAAGGAGCCCCAUGCACCUUUCAGCAGAACAGUUGUGAGCUGUAGGUGUGAAUCCCACAGCAGCCCGUUGUCAUUAAGCAUCCUGUAAGGUGAGGAGGGGGGUAAGCACUGCAAUAAGCUCAUCAGCAGCAUCUGAACCAACUCUUGGCCCCCUCUGGAUACCCUUUGGAAAUCUUCAGCGUGUUUUGUGUUUGUUUAGGAGCCAGAAACAAAUGCUGGCAGAUGCAAAGGUGUGAAAUGUUGGCCAGCCCAUCCCAGGGUGCCCUACAAGGCACUGGAGGGAGGAUUGCUCUAAGUGGAUGAUGAGCUCAGCUCAGAGGCUGUUAAGUUAAAGCUUAUUACCCUCAUUAAGAGAUGUGUGUAAUGUGGUUUUGGGCUUCUGAUAUGGUAAAACCAACAUUUUCCAAAUGUUCCGGUGUCCUGUCUGUU